GACAGAGGUGCCGAGCGUUAGGCGGAAUCACUGGGCUUAAAGCGCGUGUAGGUGGCGCGCUAAGUCGGGUGUGAAAUUUCGGAGCUUAACUCCGAAACUGCAUUCGAUACUGGCGUGCUUGAGGACUGGAGAGGAGACUGGAAUUCAUGGUGUAGCAGUGAAAUGCGUAGAUAUCGUUUGGAACGCCAAUGGUGAAAACAGGUAACUGGGAGUGUGCCGACGCUGAGACACGAAAGCCAGGGGAGCGAACGGG
This 253-nucleotide ribosomal RNA is filed under the name uncultured bacterium. Its description in RNAcentral is "partial 16S ribosomal RNA". It matches the Rfam family "Bacterial small subunit ribosomal RNA", at positions 524 to 776 of the family's 1533-position model. The record is from RNAcentral.